Peromyscus californicus insignis is the source of this 6252-nucleotide long non-coding RNA. RefSeq lists it as uncharacterized. NCBI's taxonomy places the organism in Eukaryota, Metazoa, Chordata, Mammalia, Rodentia, Cricetidae. The transcript has 4 exons. The record is from RefSeq and is a predicted model, not a curated record.
CAUACCACGAGAGUGAGUCCACCCCUGACAUUGCCUGGAGUGCCAAGACCCAGAGGCUGGAGGGCCCAGGGAUCUAGGAUAGAACCAAACACAGUUGGAGGGAAAAAAGAGCAAUCUAAUGAUUCCUAAUGAUAUUCUGCUAUACUCAUAGAUUGGUGGAUAUUCCAAUUGUUACCAGAAAGGCUUCAUCCAUCAACUGAUGGAAACAGAUGCAGCGACCCACAGCCAAGCAUUGGGCCCAUCUGGGGGAAUCCUGCUGAAGAGAAGAUUUCAGGAAAGUAUUGAAAGAGACCAUGAGAAAAGAAAAUACCUUAAAGGAGAGAAAAGGGAAAGAAAAGUGAUUAAUCCAUGUGUCAUGAAAGCAAGAUUCAGUUCGGUGAUUUGUGAGGAGGACGAUGGCCAAAUAAGAGGUGCAGGAGAAUGGGAGAAGACAGUGAAGAAUGGAGGAGUACAAUCAAAGAAAAUUGCAAAUACAAUACAAAGAAGAAGAGGAGGAGGAGGAGCAUUUUCCUGUGAGCCAUUUCUAAGUAAUUGUUUAGGAGGAAACCCAUGGAAAACCAUGCUCCCUCACUGGUGUCUAGGCAAAGUGUUCGAUUUUCACCACUGAUGUGUCAUCUGUGUACCUGGAAUGUUUGUCCUUUUGAGAUUCGGAUUAUGCCAGGUUUGGACAGAACUCUGCAAGCUGGCUUCUGCUGUGCUUCCUUUUCUCUGAUCUCCAGUGUCUACUAUGUUCUCUGAACAUUCCUCCAUUUCUGGAACAAGAACUUCAAAGGCUAUCAUUUGCUUCUUUCUAAGGAAAUCUGGUUCCCUCUAGAAAAGAAUUGUGCUGAAGGAGCUAAAGAUCUAGGGCUGGAGAUUGCUCAGUGGUCAAGAGCACUUGCUGCACUUUCAAAGGACCUAGUUUAAGUUCCCAGCACUCAUAUAUCCACACACAAUUGUCCGUCACUUCAAUUCUAGAGUAUCUGCUGUUCUCUUCUGGCUUUAGCAAGCACCAGGCACACAUUGGUACACACACAUGCAUGCAGGAAAAUCACCAGGCACUCAUGUGAUACACAUAUAUGCAUGCAGGAAAAUAUUCAUAGCUAUAAAAUGAAAUAAAUAUGUCUAAACAAGAAAAAGAAACUAUAGACCUAGGAACUACAUGUGUUAUUGAGGUAUCAUUGUUGCCAGACCCUGAUAUGGAAAUCUAACCCUAUCACAGAGUGGAUUGAUUACUUUUCUUGUAUCAGUGACCAAAUAGCUAAGAGAAGAAACUUAAGGAAGGUGGAGUCAUGGGAUGCGAGCACAGCACAGCAUGGUGGGGGAGACACAGCAGGGACAAGACUGCUGGCUGCACCUUCAGCAGUAAGGAAGACUGCAGUAAAUGCUGCCAUUCCUCUCACUUCUUCCUCUUCAUACAAUCAGGGAGCUCACCCCAUGCAAUGAUGCCAAUCACAUUUAGGGGGGGUCCCCCCUCUUCAGUUGUAUCUAUUUAAAAAUCACUCUCACAGAUGUAAACAGAGGUUUAUUUCUGAGGGGUUCUAAAUCCAGGCAAGUUGUCAUUGAAGAUUAGCCAUCAAAUGAUUGGUCCCAACAUUCCCCUCUGCGUACAUUAAACGUCUUCUUCAAUAAGUAGAAAUUUACAACGUAUUCUAUCUAUUAUGCUUGUUGCCCAGUCUGCCCUGUGUCUAAACUCUUCCCAGAGGGUCUAGCAUUUCGCCCCGUGUCAUUAUCACUCACCCACAGGGACUUCCUUUGUCAACGAAUGCAGAUGCUAACCAGGUCCCACGUGCUGCUUCCACUGUGCCCGCUAACUCCCAUUAGCAGAUGCCCAUCUUGGUCAACCCUGGUUAAUAUUUCUGGUGUCAAAUUCUUCAAGAAGGAAUGGUAGGAAAUCAGAAAGCUAGGAAGGAAAAUUCUCCUUAAAUGUGUACUAGAAUUAUAUCUUGAGGCUGUGUUCUCAUUUUAGCAAUGGUAUUAUAUAUGGAUCUCUCAUAAUCUUCUUUGUAGCCCAUUCGAAGGGCAUAAACAAUAUAAAAUGAUGCAAACAAAAUUUCAGUUGGAAGACUUCAAGAAUACUUCUGAGUAGUAGGAAAGUAGAGUGUUCAUCAAAUCUGCAUGUUGAGACCUCUCAGAACAUAAAAGUGUGCUUUCGGAGACACGCUCUCCUUCACAAACACCAAGGCAGAUGAAAGGAAUGGCCCCAGGAAUGUUAGUGGCACUUUGAUUUGUACAUCUCUUCCUACUCACAUGCCUGAAUGUACUACCUGUGUGAUCUUGAGCAUUUACCUAACAUUUCUUUGAGCUGAUUUCAUCAUCCACGAAAGGCAAAGUCUUGCUUCCUUGUCACCAUCACAGGAAUGUCAUUGUGAUUUUCGUGAAGUAUACACUAUUUUGAAUUUCUCAGUAACUGCCAAUAUAUUCUCCAUCUAAGAUCAGGAGAAAAUAUAUCACCACAAGUUCAUGAUGGGGAGCUGCCCUGUGGGGAUCUCUCUGGAUUUAGUGUUAAAGAAAAAAACAAUUUCUCCAGCUCCGUGGCAUGAUGCCACAGCUGGAGAGAACCUACCCCUGGGAUCAAAAGGGAAAGCAUACAGCUUUGAGUGGGCAUGAAGCUGGCAGCUGAUGGGUUCCAGUAAGAGAGAGAAGACCCAAAUUCAGGAAGCAGGUGUGUUAUCUAAGUGAAUAAGGCCUGGAUCUAGGCAACAAGAGCUGUCUACCAGAUAAAAAUGAUGAAAGAUAGUAGUCAGCAGCCUGCCCCUGCCUUCCUAACCCACAACUUACUUUAUAUUUUCAAAAAUAUAUACAAAGCUAUUUACUGCAGCAUUAUUUAUGAUGGCAAAAAAGAAAAACCAGGAAAGUAGAAGAAAACUGAAUACUAAAAAAAUAAGAUAACGGUAGAUUUUUUUUAAAUCACAGAUUGAAAAACAAAUGAACAAAUAAAACCCAAAAAGAACCACAUGAAGAAACAGGUGUGCAGAUUCAUUUAUUUACCGUUAACCUAGACCUUGAAAAGAUUUGAGAAACAGAAGAAGCUGAACAAACAUACUUUGCUUGAAUUUUGUUUUUUUAAUUUGAAUAUGUAGAUAUUUUUCAUUAAAUAACAUUGUAUUAACAUGUAUGGAUUUUAUUAUUAUGAAUUAAAAAUGCAGAAUUUAGUAACAGCUCUCACAACAGCCGUUCAAAAACCAUGGGAUGAACAAAGAUUGUUAAUUACAUAAAAAGAUUUCUGAACUUUUAAAAAGAUGAAAUACAGAUCUUCUGCCAGAGAGAAAUUUCUGUAAGUAAAGUUAUUUUGAAUUUAAAGAAAAAGGUAGGGGGGGGGUACAUUUUUCACCAGUUAUUUAAACCAGAGGGCUAUACUGUUUUGACUGCCAUCGAAUGGAGGAGCAAGAAUUUAAACUCCCUAAGAAAAAAGAUGUUAUAUAAUGAGGAGCUGUGUGAAUUGUCAUCAGAAUAUAUUUUGUCCAUCCAUGGCCAGUGGUUUGUAAUUCUGUCAGUUCACUUUCACUGUUGCUGUGAAGAUCAAAGAAAGACAUAAUAUAAAAAUGAUUUAAUAACUACAUAAAUGUGAGAAAUUUAUCAUUUGCAUUAAGAAUUAUUUUUAUCCAAAUAUUUUGAAACCUGGCAUGAAUACUUGAGGCUCCCAAUACACUUACAACUAAACUACAGAAUAAAUAUAUUGCAAAUAAACUCAGACACAAAGAGAAUCAUCCAGUCCCCUGACUAGCCGUGUGGUAUGUGAGACCCUGCAGGCAAGAAAGAAAUGAUUGUCUGAUCAGAGGCUACACAAUGAUAUUCAUAGCUAUUCAACAGUAUAUACAGCACAUCCUCAGAGAAACAUAAUCACGCAGUGUUAAAUUCAGAGCACAAACUUACAGGGAAUAAGAAAUUUCAGUAGAAAAUAAAUGAUAUCCACAUUGGGGCAUCUUUGACCAUAACUUUGGAAGAUGGAGGGUUAAAGUGCCUUCGGAUGUCACUUGUACCCAUAUAUUGUGACUGUCUAAUUCAUGGUUUUGAGAGCCACAACUUGCAAACUUCCUAGCACCUAGGGACAUUCUCUGCCAUUAAUUUGGGUGUAGGAGUCCCUUUGCAAUAACUAGGAAAUGUAGGGGAAGAAUUAAUGGCAGGGUAGAGCCUUUACUCAGUAGACAAUAGCAGUGUGUAUGAGUAGGAGACAAUUAAUUGCAGCAUUGGUCUCCGUUCCAAAAUUCCCAGGUCUAUGCACAGAAAUACAUGUUCACUGGAGGGUCACCGAAAACAGUAAAAGUAAGGUUCCAAAAACUCAUUCCUAACUAAAGCAUAUCUGCUUCGCAAUGGAACAAAAAUCCUCUGUAAAUGAGCUUAUGUGUAUCCAGAUUCCUCAAAGAGAGCAGAGUAACAUUUUCCUGUUCAAAAUCAAGGAUUUAAUGUAAUUCUGAACAUCUUUGAUUUUCUCUUCAAGAAACUCUCACGCUGCAUAGGACCUGUAGGUUUAGUAAUUGAAAAGAUAUUGGGCUUGCUACAAACAAAACUCACUGUUCUCAAAGACAGAUUUCAGAGACCCACAUAAAGAUUUUCCAUUUGUUUAUGCAACAAGAACUACUGCAUGUGGCUGCUUUAAUAAGGGGGAAGUCAGCUAACUCAGUAUCCUAUAAUUACUUCUUAGGUUAUACUGUGUUACUGACCUAUCCUGGAAGCUACACCUAUGCCAUGACCAAGUAAGAGAUACUGGCUUGCAAAACCUGAAUAAGGAAAUAUAGGACACAUCAAGAUGGAGUCUUUCUUUGUGUCUCUGACUUACUCCUAUUCAAACAGGAAAUAGGAUGCCUCUAAUUCCACUGAUUACCAGUUUCAGUAUCAACUUAUCAGGACAAUGAUAGGCCCCAUACAAAUGUCACUCUAAUGUUUUUUUCCCAACAGAAGUAGAAGCUGAUCUAUAUAUCCCAGAGCAAUUGUACAAGAGCACAUUGUAUUUGCCAGCUCACUCUUUGAGCCUUGCUAGUCAGAUGCUUAGUUUUCUGUAAUUGAGAUUUUACCCAAAGAAUUCCAAUGGAAUGUUUAAAACUCAAUUUUCCUGUAAUCUCUCAGAAUCUGGUUUCAUUUAUAUUCAACUCACAUAAUGUCUCUUGUGAGUAAAGCAGAUCUACUCUCAAGAGUAAACUUCGCCAAGAAACUCAGGACAGAGACAUCUGCAAGUGACUUGGUAGAGACUUUUCAUGUCUUUCAGGUAGAAGGGCAUACCCUUGUCAGUGUAUAUUCGCCAUCAGAAUGAAACACUUGAGCUUUUCAAAAUGUCACUAAAAAUAAAACUAUUUUGUUUUUAUUAGUAGACUCUUAGAGUUUUCAAAUAAGCUGUGUUAAUUUAACAGCACAAUAGGCUAUAUUCCAAUGUCAUAUUGAAGGGGCAGGGAGAUUCAUUCAAAAGAGACACCAUAUAUAAAAAUUUGCUUCUCAAAAUAAUGGGAAAAUACUCAGUUUACAAAGUUAGAUUAGAUUUUAAAUUCAGGUUCUGUUGCUUUAUUGGCUCCUAUCUUAAGCUUCUGUUUCUUAAAGUGCAUGUGGUUGAACUUAGCUCUCAGGGUUACUAGAUUAUUUUUUUAAUUUAGAUAUACAAAAUUGUUUUGUAAAUGGUUAAGCAAUAUGUCUUUCUCUUUUAUGAAUAUGAUGGUACUACUAAAAAUUAGAAAUUAAAGUCAUGAAGUAAUAAAAUGGGAAGGAUAGAGUUUUUCUUGAUGAUUCUCUUGUUUUAAUGUGCUUCAUUCUGUAAAUGAAAUGAAGUCUUAUUCUGUUUAACAAUCAUUUACUGAGCUUCUCUAUGAACCAGGAUGUCUAUUGAAGUUGGAGAAACAGUUAAUUAACAGGAAUGCCUGAAGGAGUUAAGAUCCAGGUCAAGGAAGUAUCUGCCCAAAGUUUGAAAAUUUGAGGUUUAAACGCUAUAAAAAGGAUCAAUAAAUUUCUCAUAUUUUGAGUCUCUGCCCAGGACUCAACUUCCACUGCCUCUGUGCUCAGGUUUUCUCAUCUGCCUCAAAUCAUAGGAAGUUUAUAAAAGUCAUUUAACACUUUAAAAAUGCCAGUUUUCUAAAGCUCCGGACCAGAUGUCUCCACCAAAUCCCUCUCCUCAGAGCUCACGGGAACCCAGUGGAUGAGAAGGUAGGAGCUGCGAAGACAGAGGGGGAAAGAGGACCCCAGAAUAAGGCCUUAUAAAAACAACUGAGCAUAGCAUGCUCUUACUUAUAAGUGGAUAUAAGCUAUAAAGAAAAAAAAAUAAUCAUGCUAUGGACCACAGACCCGGAA